Molecule: transfer RNA, 73 nt
Filed under: Camelus bactrianus (Bactrian camel)
Lineage: Eukaryota; Metazoa; Chordata; Mammalia; Artiodactyla; Camelidae
Also listed under: 1 other name
Rfam family: tRNA
About the family: Transfer RNA (tRNA) molecules are approximately 80 nucleotides in length. Their secondary structure includes four short double-helical elements and three loops (D, anti-codon, and T loops). Further hydrogen bonds mediate the characteristic L-shaped molecular structure. tRNAs have two regions of fundamental functional importance: the anti-codon, which is responsible for specific mRNA codon recognition, and the 3' end, to which the tRNAs corresponding amino acid is attached (by aminoacyl-tRNA synthetases). tRNAs cope with the degeneracy of the genetic code in two manners: having more than one tRNA (with a specific anti-codon) for a particular amino acid; and 'wobble' base-pairing, i.e. permitting non-standard base-pairing at the 3rd anti-codon position.
Source: Rfam by way of RNAcentral
GGAGGUAUAGCUCAAUUGGUAGAGUGCUUGCUUAGCAUGCAGAAGGUCCUGGGUUCAACCCCCAGGACCUCCA